CCUACGGGAGGCAGCAGUGAGGAAUAUUGGUCAAUGGACGGAAGUCUGAACCAGCCAUGCCGCGUGAAGGAAGACGGCUCUAUGAGUUGUAAACUGCUUUUGUACAAGGGUAAACCUGAAUACGUGUAUUCUGCUGAAAGUACUGUACGAAUAAGGAUCGGCUAACUCCGUGCCAGCAGCCGCGGUAAUACGGAGGAUCCAAGCGUUAUCCGGAUUUAUUGGGUUUAAAGGGAGCGUAGGUGGCUUGAUAAGUUAGUUGUGAAAGUUCCGGGCUUAACCGUGGAACUGCCUUUCAUACUGGUAAUCUAGAGAGGAGUAGCGGUAGGCGGAAUGCAUGGUGUAGCGGUGAAAUGCUUAGAGAUCAUGCAGAACACCGAUUGCGAAGGCAGCUUAC
Molecule: ribosomal RNA, 394 nt
Filed under: uncultured bacterium
Lineage: Bacteria
Description: partial 16S ribosomal RNA
Rfam family: Bacterial small subunit ribosomal RNA
Source: RNAcentral